GAUGAACGCUGGCGGCGUGCCUAAUACAUGCAAGUCGAGCGAACAGACGAGGAGCUUGCUCCUCUGACGUUAGCGGCGGACGGGUGAGUAACACGUGGAUAACCUACCUAUCAGACUGGGAUAACUUCGGGAAACCGGAGCUAAUACCGGAUAAUAUAUUGAACCGCAUGGUUCAAUAGUGAAAGACGGUUUUGCUGUCACUUAUAGAUGGAUCCGCGCCGCAUUAGCUAGUUGGUAAGGUAACGGCUUACCAAGGCAACGAUGCGUAGCCGACCUGAGAGGGGGAUCGGCCACACUGGAACUGAGACACGGUCCAGACGCCUACGGGAGGCAGCAGUAGGGAAUCUUCCGCAAUGGGCGAAAGCCGGACGGAGCAACGCCGCGUGAGGGAUGAAGGUCUUCGGAUCGUAAAACUCUGUUAUUAGGGAAGAACAAAUGUGUAAGUAACUAUGCACGUCUUGACGGUACCUAAUCAGAAAGCCACGGCUAACUACGUG
This 497-nucleotide ribosomal RNA is filed under the name uncultured bacterium. RNAcentral's name for it is "partial 16S ribosomal RNA". It matches the Rfam family "Bacterial small subunit ribosomal RNA", at positions 28 to 507 of the family's 1533-position model. The record is from RNAcentral.